Camellia sinensis is the source of this 1641-nucleotide non-coding RNA. The record is from RefSeq and is a predicted model, not a curated record. NCBI's taxonomy places the organism in Eukaryota, Viridiplantae, Streptophyta, Magnoliopsida, Ericales, Theaceae.
UGAGAAUUAUUAUUUAACAUAAACUUCAAUCACAUAAAGGAAAUAUUAAAAAUCAUAAAUUGUUAAUUUUAUUAAAGCAGUAAUUGAAUUAAUGACACUUGAAUAAUUUAAAUAAAAGAAUGGAUCCGCAACUUGACCACCUACAGGCUACAGCUGUUCGGAUCGAGUAUCGCCAGUUAGCAAGUUAAUUCUCUGUUUUUAUCUAUUUAGGUCUUUAAUUACGGUUGUUUAUUGAGUUGGCUUAGUAUUUAUUGAUUUAUUAUUUUUAUUAUUUAUGAAUCUUUGACUCUUUUUGGUGAUGGAAAUCAAAUCAGAGCUUGUGGUUGUUAUGAUGUUGUUGGCUAAUCACUCGUUAAUUUAGGCGUUUAAUUUGGGCAUGUGAUUUCCUCUUGUUUGGACUCAUGCUUUGUGUCGCUUUGCUGUUGUUUUUUGAAAUUUUGGGGGGCGUAGUAUUGCAGCUAGCUGAUUAGGGGCUCAACUACCAUUUUCAUGUUUACUUGGAACCAUUGGUAUCCUUUUUCAAUAGUCUCAAUAUGCUUGUUGACGUCAUGUUUCCCUUUUUGGUUUAUAUUGUGUAGUGGACCUGAUAUUAGUUUUGGUUGAUAAACCAGAUAUUACACAUCCAACUCCAGAUCUUACAGGCUAUAUUACUGAGGGAUAGAUAUACAUUGAUAGGAAGCUCCACAAUCGGCAGGUGAUGGAUAGGGAAGAAAACCAAACAAUCAGUGAAUUUUUUUUUUUUAACCAUCCAUUACUGCACUUUUUACCUUUUCAUGAUAGAGACUCCUCUAGAAGAUUUUGUUGUUACUGCAUCAUUCUCAAAUAUCAAUGCCAGACUGCCUUUUUUUUUAAUAUUUUUUUUAUGUUGCUGGUGAGAGAGAUGCUCUUAACAUACUUGUUUAUGCUAGACUAACAUAUUCUAUUAUUUUGUAGAUUAAAUGUUCUCUGAGCUUAAUGCCUAAGUUAUAUAUGGUCAGUGGUUUUUUAUUUGCAAGGUGCAAAAAGUUGAAUUUCUAAUGAAGGAAUGGAGAUACUUCGUUCAUUAUCUUGGGUGGAACAAAAAUUCUAUUAGAAGAGGGAGGGUGGGAGGUUUGCUUUUGGAGUUUCAAUGGAGAAGAAGAGGUACUUCCCAAUUUUAGCAUGCCAUACUGUACUGGGUAUGGCUCUUUCUUUCUCUCAACUAGAGAGGGAAACGAAGAAUCAAUGAGGAGCUGUGGAAAGAAUUCAAAUCUUGGAGUCUGAUCGUACGGAAUACAAUGCCAAAGUCGACCUCUUGAUGCAGCAGAUCAGUCGAAGAGGACCCUCUAUUGAUUCUUUUUCUUAGUAAUUCAUCUUUUGAGAUCUACAUUCGAUUUCCUUUGUGGGUUUCUAUACUAGUUUUAUGAGUAUGCACUUUGUUGAACAUGAAUUCAUAGCUUAGCAUCAAUAAUUGCAGAUCAAUAAUUGCAGUUCACUAGUGGACCAUUAAGCCUUAAUUGUAAGUACUCUACAUCUCUAAGGAAGCAUAAUUGAAUAACUUUAGGAGGAAAAAUUAAAAUGGUUGAUUAUUCAUAACUUUAGCCUAAAAAAGCUUUAACCACCAGUAAUGUAUUGUAUGUAUAUGCAAAUUUAUUCCUCCGAAGUAGCUAUAGUUAAUUUUUU